RNAcentral lists this transfer RNA (71 nucleotides) under Cucujus clavipes (red flat bark beetle). RNAcentral's name for it is "tRNA-Lys". Lineage: Eukaryota; Metazoa; Arthropoda; Insecta; Coleoptera; Cucujidae. The record is from RNAcentral.
CAUUAGAUGGCUGAAUGCAAGCACUGAUCUCUUAAAUCAUCCUAUAGUAAAUUAGCAAUUACUUCUAAUGA